Molecule: ribosomal RNA, 434 nt
Filed under: uncultured Clostridium sp.
Lineage: Bacteria; Bacillati; Bacillota; Clostridia; Eubacteriales; Clostridiaceae
Description: partial 16S ribosomal RNA
Rfam family: Bacterial small subunit ribosomal RNA
Source: RNAcentral
ACGGAAGGCAGCAGUGGGGAAUAUUGCACAAUGGGGGAAACCCUGAUGCAGCGACGCCGCGUGAGUGAAGAAGUAUUUCGGUAUGUAAAGCUCUAUCAGCAGGGAAGAUAAUGACGGUACCUGACUAAGAAGCCCCGGCUAACUACGUGCCAGCAGCCGCGGUAGUACGUAGGGGGCAAGCGUUAUCCGGAUUUACUGGGUGUAAAGGGAGCGUAGGUGGCGUGGCAAGUCAGAAGUGAAAGCCCGGGGCUCAACCCCGGGACUGCUUUUGAAACUGUCAUGCUGGAGUGCAGGAGAGGUAAGUGGAAUUCCUAGUGUAGCGGUGAAAUGCGUAGAUAUUAGGAGGAACACCAGUGGCGAAGGCGGCUUACUGGACUGUAACUGACACUGAGGCUCGAAAGCGUGGGGAGCAAACAGGAUUAGAUACCCUGGUA